Molecule: long non-coding RNA, 1113 nt
Organism: Triticum aestivum (bread wheat)
Lineage: Eukaryota; Viridiplantae; Streptophyta; Magnoliopsida; Poales; Poaceae
Exons: 3
Source: RefSeq, a predicted model, not a curated record
AUGGGUGACCUUUCGGGAAGUUUGACCACGGAGUGCGCACUUCUAUGUGGUACGGGUGCGCCACUGGCACGCCUUUUUCUAGUAGUCGCCGGAUCGAUCACGGUGGCGCAGGUACCUUUGUCCCCGCCCCCGGUCCUUCCCUUCCUCCUCCCUCGGCCGAUCCUUCCCCUCCUCCGCCGCAGUUCCGUGCCGUCCUCCCGGCGCCAGAUCCUAUCGGAACCGAGGUCGUCCAGUCCCUCCGUCGGCAAGGCGCCACUGCCAUCUUCAUGGACUACCCAUCCCGAUACGGCGGCUGCCCGUCGCUCCCCCUCCCAAAGAUCCACGCGUCCCUAAGUUCGUUCGUGCGUGAACUGGCUGGUGACCGACCACCAGCGCAACAUCUUGCUCAUGCACUGCGACGGGACGGUGUAUGGGAGAGCGCCGGUGGAGCUGCUCAAUACUUGCUCGACGCUCGAUCAGCGGUCGUCUCAUCUGAGGACAUUAAUCUGCCAUGAAUUUGCAACAAGGAAAAAAAUCAGGAUGACUUCAAGAUUGAGCCGUUCUUUUCAAAGGUGGAGCUAUUAGACAUUGAUGAAAGCCAUGGCGAUGAGGCAGAGUUUAUCCAUGGAGUCGAUGAAUAUAUCCUAGAAUGCAACAACCCAUCUACUACAUUCUAGCCCAAAAACAACAACGCUUACACAGGCUUUCCAUACAUUGCAGCGUGACAUGCUCCAUUCCCCAUCGUUCUCAGCCAUAGUUUGGUGUAUUUUCUGCCCGGCAAUGCCAACAAUGUAUGUGUUGAUUUAAUAAAGCUUCACCGUGCAAGAUCACUUCCUCUACGGCUCUGCCCCCACCAGCAAGUGUCGUGUUCAUGUGCUUCUUUGCAACCCCCUCUGAAUAUUUUUUAUACCUUUCUAGAUUUGCAUUUUAGAUUGGAAAUUUCUCUCCCCUGUUGGGCCUUCUUUAUUGUAUUUGCUACGUUUUGCUACGUGCCAUCAUCCACAACAAUUUGCAAUCUAACUUAUUUUUAUCAUGUCUGAUGUUUGCAGAUUUCUCAUCUUUUAUCAUUACAACUUUGAAGAAAGCAGUGACAAGAGUAAUACCAUGCAAUUGUACAUAUCCAUGAAAUACUGA